Brassica rapa (field mustard) is the source of this 3898-nucleotide long non-coding RNA. RefSeq lists it as uncharacterized. Lineage: Eukaryota; Viridiplantae; Streptophyta; Magnoliopsida; Brassicales; Brassicaceae. The record is from RefSeq and is a predicted model, not a curated record.
AGUAAAGAUUAAUCAUUGUUAGAUAAUAUAAUUUUUGUUUAAAAAAAAUCUUUAUAAUUUUGAAAGUUAACAUCGACAAAUACUUAAAUAUUUAACAUAUGGAAGUAUAAAAUUACAACAUUAAAUUAUAUCUAUUUAAUUUAUACUAUCUAAGUAUCUAUAAAUCCAAUGGAUCAUCUAUUGUUUAAAUUCAAUUAUUGAUAGCCCAAUAAAAAUUUAUGGUAUGUCCAAAACUUAAAUGAUAAUAUUAGAAAUUAAAUGUAAAACAUAAAUUUCUAGAAAUAGGUCCACUAGGUACAUUUAAAAAAAAACAAUCACACAUGAAUCAGUGUUGUGACUUCUGUAUUUAUAUAAAAGAUAAAUUAUUAUUAAAAAUCAUAUAAUCUAGAUACAAAAGGUUUAAAAUUUCAUUUUUCUGUUAUCAGUCUUUAAUCAUUAUAGAACUGAGGACACUAAUAUAAGUUAUAUAAGAUUUUGAUCCGUGCUUUAAAAGUGCUAGAUAUUGUAUGAUGAAAAUUUCCGUUAAAAAUAUUUGGUUAAUUUAUAAGAAUUUUGUAUAUUUGAAAUAUUUCUGCAUUUAAAUCACUAUUUUAAACCCGAUCUGGAUCUAUGAUUGAACCAGUAAACCAAAAAUCCCAUAUGUAAUCCGGUUUAGGUUUUAAGAAAUAUUUAUUAUUUAAACCCGAUAAAUCCUGCAACAAAUUAACUUCUAAAUCUCGAGGCUAGCCAGUUUAAUUGAUGGGUGUCUGGUAUGUAAUUCAAUUUGAUUUAAAUUAAAAAAAAUUUAAAACGUAAAGUCAAUUUAAAUGGGUGCAUUAGAUAUUUACAAUAUUUAAAAAUUUAAAGUCAGUUUGAUUUUUAUUAUAUGUCGUACUAAGUUAUUAUAAAAUAUUGUUUAAAUAUGUUUUCAAUAUUUUUUAUGUGAAAUGAUAAAAAAUAAAGAACAAAAUGAUAAAAUAAAGAAAACUUUACUAUAUUAUAAAUAUGAUAUUUUCUUGUAUUUUUUAAAACCCUAUCAGAUUACAUGGGAUUACUGAUUUAAAAUAGCUUCGACCGUGGAUCCGGAUCGGGUUUAGAAGCACUAAUGUAAAUAAAAAAUAUUAUAGAUAGACAAAAUUAUUAUAAAUUAACAAAACAUAUAAUGUUGUUAAUGGAGUUUUUCAUCGUAAAAUAUUCAGUGGUUUGAAACGCGAAUAAAAAUUUAAUCAUAUAUUAAAAUUAUCUAAACUAUUAACCUGUGGUUAUCUCUACAGCCACUGAAAACAUGAUAUAAAAUUGAAAUUUGUUAUGAACAAAACCUCAAAAAAAAAUUACACAAUAACAAAAUCACAUAAAAUAUCACAAGGAAUACGACUAAUAUAUAAAGGUAUAAACUAAACUACGGUGCAUAAAACUAAUAGUCAUCAACGAAUGUUUCUUAUUGUGUGUAUUUUUUUGUGUAAUUUGUUGAAAGAGAAUUGCUUAAUUUAUAUUGAAUACUCCUUUUUGAUUUUUGAGAAGCAGAGGUGGCGUUUGUUAUUAUGUAAGACUUCCAUACCUAUUGAAUAUUUCUUUUGAGUAUUUAGAAUCUUACCAUAAAAACUGUUUACAAAUUUAAACAUUAACAAUCGCAAAUAUAAAAUCUUACCAUAUAUAUUAGGCUAGGUGUUAGGAUUUUUUGCUAUUAAAAUUAACUACGUUAGGCCUAUUGGUAUGAGUUGUGAUUUUAUUUUUUGGCUGUAGAAAUAUUGAUGUGAUUUUUUUUUUUUGCUUUGGCUCUAGAUUUUAAAAUUUUAAAAGUCUUUAAAAUAAUAAUAAAGAGCCGAAUUGAAUUUAAAUAAAAGAGCUAUGAGCUUUAGAAAAGUACAAAUCUAAAUUGGUGUAGAUUUAGGGAUGUAAGUAUAAUUGUGGCUAUGGAAAACAUUUACAUCAAUAGCUAAUUACACAUUAAGUAUAAGAUAUAGUCUGAUUUAGUCAAAUUUUUUUUUUUGAUAACCGUAGUGUGAUCUUAAAGGCUUUCUAGGUCCAAUGACUAAUCACUACGAAGCCCAUAGAAAUUCGGGUUUUCUUGCCACUUAAGACGUCCAUGGGUGGCCAAGAGGAAUCGAACCCAUAGCGGAGCUCCAGCUGGAGCCCCUUUACCACUAUGCCAAAACCACUUGGUUAACACAUUAUUAUAGAGAAAGUUGAGUCCAAUUUUGUGUGUUUUACUAGUAUUUGAUUUAAACUCGAAUGAAAAAUCCAUGACCAAUUUGAUUUCCAUGAAAAUUUAGCCAUAUAACUAGAACAUUGUCUAUAACUAAAUGGUUGGUUCAUUAUUUGGUUUAUGAUUUAUAACGUACCCAUAGUAGAUAACUAUAUGUUAGACACAUAUUGAUUAGAUUUUAAAAUAUAUUAUGAUUUAAAUGAAUUAAUGUUUGGUAGUCCAAAAUUUAAAUAUAAUUAUAUAACAUAUGACCUCUGAAAAUAAUUCUAAUUUAAUAAAUUAGAUAUAUUAUUUUAUAGUUUUAAAAUAUCUAAAUUUUUAUUAAAAAAUAGUUUUAAGGGUUUAAAGAUAUAUUAUUUUAUAGUUUUAAUUUUUAAUAAAAAAUAAAUGGAUAUCUUUCUCAAAAAAAUAUUAAAUGGAUAUCCUUAUUUUAACCGAAACCAAACUAAAAUUUACAAAUAAUCUGUGUAAUUAUUUUAGUCUCGAAAGAUCCAAAACCCAGCCGUAACCGAAUGAAACCAGAAUUAGAUAAUGGGCCAGUUUUAAUAGUUUGGGUUCAAGUAUUAUAGUUGAGACUAGUGUUUUUAAAACCGGACCGACUCGAUGGUUGGUUCAACCAUGAACCGGAUACAUAGCCGGAUUUGGUCUAAUAAUUGGUUCGACCAUGAACCGUUACGUAACCAGAUUGGAUUUCAGAGUUAUUACUGAUUAAAACCAUUUAAAACUAUCAAAAAUCUUUAAAAAAUUAAUCCAUAUAAACAUAAAACUAGUUUUUAUUUACAAUGUUUAUGUUUUAAAUUCAUUUAUAUUUUAAUUAUGUAUCAUAUUAACUAACAUUAAUUUUAAAUUUAUACAUUAGAAAUAUAUUAAUCCAGAUUAUUGAACCAGAUUUGAUCCGGUCGAACCAUAUUAAAUUGUGAUCUAAAAAUUAUCCGGUUCGGCUUCCGUCCGGUUUUAAAAACACCUGUUGAGACCCUCUCUCUCUCUUUUCGUAAUCUUAACUAAAUUCUACCCUUAUUUCACGGUAGACUUUUCUCUACCCUUAUUAUCAGGUGCUGUUUCGAUUCUAGGGCUAAUAUCAUAUUUGGAUUUGACGAUGACGAAGGAGUACGUGAUGCUCAUACUGCUGAUGAUGAUAGUUUUUUCACCGUUUCUCCCACCAUUACAGUUUUUCGGCAGUUCAGAUGGAAUUAUUUUGACAGGUCCUGAUUUCACCCGCAAAUUCAACACUGUCGAAUCUAAUACGGCUGACUCUGUGGAAAUCAGAGUGUGUGAUGCAAUUGGAGUGGUUUACAUGACUGAGUCGCUCGACGCAUGCGAAAAAUUGAUCUUGGAAAGAGACAUGUUGAUGUUGUCAACAACAACAACUAGAUCCUUCUUUGUAACAAAAGAAACUGCACAAGUAGUAAACAAGUAUAUUUGUCGGCCAAAUGUAGCAGUCAUGCGUGUCCCUAUUCAUACCGACCACCUUUACGGAUUAAUCACCAGGGGUCUUCUCUUCUACACCUUCGUCUUCCUCCUUUUACGUUUCUUCAGUUAGCAAUUCCUAAGUCUGAAUAAAAUAAUGCAUGUUAGCACUGGACUACACAUCAGAAUCAGUUCAUGGUAUUUAUUAUCCUUUUGAUAGUUUGAUUUGCAUUUUUAUUUUUCUUAUGUAACAAAUAUAUAACAUGAGACAUAGAAGACGAAGAAGAAAAUCGGAAUUUAUAGAUA